This is a long non-coding RNA of Larimichthys crocea (large yellow croaker), 790 nucleotides long. RefSeq lists it as uncharacterized. NCBI's taxonomy places the organism in Eukaryota, Metazoa, Chordata, Actinopteri, Sciaenidae. The transcript is spliced from 2 exons. The record is from RefSeq and is a predicted model, not a curated record.
CACUUUCACUCCUCACGCACUCUUUCAAACCCUGCUCUCGCUCCUGGCUGCCUCCAGAAAAAAGCUGCUGUAAAUUUCAUCAGUUUAUUUGUUUUUUUUUUUACUCUGAACUGAUACAGCAAAAUGAAAGCUCCUGCCAGAGCAACACACAGGAUUCCUUCGCAAACAAAGAAGAGGAUUCGAGCUCACUCCACAUUCAUCUAUAGAGUUCAUAAAGAGGUCAAUCCGGCUGGGAUGAGGAGUCUUGAUCUUAUGGCCAGUCGGCUCAGCUUUCCCAAACCAGUCCUGCUCAGACUGGUGAGCUUAGAGGCAUCCCGGCUCUCAAAAACCAAUAGGCUAAAGGUCGUCACCCUGCAGGAGAUCAAUGCUGCUGUCACGCUUGUACAACGGAGGAUUGGUACAAGAACUGGUGCUGCGUGAAGAGUUGGACUUAAGAUAUACAAGAAUUUUAUGUUUUAUUAAUAAAGAGUUUAUUCAUUUUUAAUCUGUUGCCUUUUAUGCAAGGAUUGCAUGGUGAAGUAUUGACUCCUAGCAGUAAUUUAGAUCUGAGUGUGAAUGUUUUAAACUAAUGUCAAGGUAGACACAAGUUUCUAAUAACAUAUUGGAAUGUUAUCUGGUUUCAUUAGAUUUGGUGCACUUGCAGUGAGGUAAUAUUACCCAUAUUGGCUAACAUGCUCCUGUAGGACACUUGUUCUCUAGCUGCUAGCUCACUUCCUGAUCAAAUCCAAUAAAGUGUGCUCUGCAGUCAAAACAUGCAACUGCCUUAAAAUUAAAAUGUUUGCUGCUCACA